ACGGAUGAUCCGCUGUGGCGACCCCUAAUGGGAGCAGCCGAAAGAAGAAGAAGAAGUGUAGUGCACCGUUCUCCAUCAAGAGUAUAAAAGGCCAGAACACUGAGCAGCAGUCGGCAUUCCACAUCAGCCAUCUACCGAACAGCAGCGAGCAAUUGACAGAAAGAAUCACACACGAUCAAUUCUAAACCAAGUGAAGCUUGAGUGUGAAGAAUCCUGUACCGUGUUUUUACUGACACGCUGAGAGAUGAGGCGGUAGACGAUG
Molecule: long non-coding RNA, 262 nt
Organism: Silurus meridionalis
Lineage: Eukaryota; Metazoa; Chordata; Actinopteri; Siluriformes; Siluridae
Exons: 3
Source: RefSeq, a predicted model, not a curated record